RNAcentral lists this ribosomal RNA (245 nucleotides) under uncultured bacterium. RNAcentral describes it as "partial 16S ribosomal RNA". It matches the Rfam family "Bacterial small subunit ribosomal RNA", at positions 524 to 768 of the family's 1533-position model. The record is from RNAcentral.
UACAGAGGUCUCAAGCGUUGUUCGGAUUCAUUGGGCGUAAAGGGUGCGUAGGUGGCGCCGUAAGUGGGGUGUGAAAUCUCGGGGCUUAACUCCGAAACUGCAUUCCAUACUGCGGUGCUUGAGGACUGGGGAGGAGACUGGAAUUCAUGGUGCAGCAGUGAAAUGCGUAGAGAUCAUGAGGAAGACCAGUGGCGAAGGCGGGUCUCUGGACAGUUCCUGACACUGAGGCACGAAGGCCAGGGGAG